AUUUGUGCAGAAUCAAGACCGUCACUGACAUGAACAGGACUCAUCGAAGCAGAAUCCAACUUUGACCUCGACUUGACCGUGCUGGCACACUUGAUGUGCUUUUAGAAAUAAGGCUGGAAGAAUCCUUCCCCCCCCCGUCCAACUCACUUGAACGCAGCGUUUAAUUGCCUUGCAGGGGGAAAAUAAUGUGACGCAUCAUGAGGAAGUCAGCACUGCAGCGUAAAGAAUGCAGGGACAUUGUUCUCAAGUACGGGGAAAAGUGACGUUACAGUCUUUACUGUCCUGCCGCUGCUGGGCUGCCACAGGAGGUCCUCGUGGGCAACGUUAAAGAUGAUGACAUCUCUGCAGACGACACACCCAGCGCUCACUGCAGGAGCGGCGUGCCAGUUCGGGAAGGCCAGGUGGAAACAGUCGCACAUGAUGGCGAAGACCGGCUCCUACAGCCCUGCCGAGGCGGUACCGAUGGAGGGGUGGCGGGGACGUCCUCGGCUCCGGUGGCACCCAAAGAUGACUUGCGAGAAAAGAGUGAGCGCGCUCGCCGCCGUCCGCCGGGUGGAGAGUGCGAGCAAGCUGUAAACACGGACCUCCAGCACUGCUCGAUAACUUCAUUAUGGGAGGAGCUGCCGGCCCACCCCCUCCCAACACAGACUCAUCCCUUUCUUCUCCUUCUUAACCUUCCUCAUCCUCCUCUUCCUCCCUCCUCGCUACAGUCUCAUUGAUCGCCCUAAUCGGACAAGGACAUUCAGCACUAAUGGGAAGGCGGUGUGUGUGUGUGUGUGUGUAACUGUUUACUGACAUGAGGCCGUAAGUUGAUUUGCUGCCGUGUACAUGCAGUUUAAAGCCCUCUUUGUAGAGGCAACUUGACGCUCCAGCAGUCGUCUUGGCUCUAUCAGACGGGCAGCGAGAAAACAAACAACAAGAAAAAGUCCUCCCAUCUAGUCUAGCCCUGUUUGAUAGUCCAACGUUGUUGAUUUAUGUCCAAGCGAUCGCCACGGUCACAAGCUUUGAGUAAGAGCGUAUAUACGUUUGUAAGGCAGCUGCUAUUUCAUGCUCACAUUUCUGCUGACUGCAGACUUCAUGGGAGCCAACAAACUUGUAUUGUCCUAGGGUUGGGCGAUAUGGCCUUUUGUUUGUCUCGAUAUUUUUGGGCCAUGUCGCGAUACACGAUAUGCAUCUCGAUAUUUUUGCCUUAGCCUUGAAUGAACACUUGAUGCAUAUAAUCA
Molecule: long non-coding RNA, 1223 nt
Organism: Nerophis ophidion (straightnose pipefish)
Lineage: Eukaryota; Metazoa; Chordata; Actinopteri; Syngnathiformes; Syngnathidae
Exons: 3
Source: RefSeq, a predicted model, not a curated record